GCUCCCGUCGUCUAGAGGCCUAGGACACAUCCCUUUCACGGAUGCGACAGGGAUUCGAAUUCCCUCGGGAGUACCA
RNAcentral lists this transfer RNA (76 nucleotides) under bacterium. RNAcentral describes it as "tRNA-Glu". It matches the Rfam family "tRNA". Rfam says of the family: Transfer RNA (tRNA) molecules are approximately 80 nucleotides in length. The record is from RNAcentral.